Molecule: ribosomal RNA, 254 nt
Filed under: uncultured bacterium
Lineage: Bacteria
Description: partial 16S ribosomal RNA
Rfam family: Bacterial small subunit ribosomal RNA
Source: RNAcentral
UACGUAGGGGGCGAGCGUUGUCCGGAUUUAUUGGGCGUAAAAGGCUUGUAGGUGGCCACGUCAAGUCGGAUGUGAAAUCUCCCGGCUUAACCGGGAGUGGUCGGUGGAAACUGCUCGUCUGGAGGACGGUAGAGGUAGGUAGAAUUCCCGGUGUAGUGGUGAAAUGCGUAGAGAUCGGGAGGAAUACCUGUGGCGAAGGCGGCCUACUGGGCCGGACCUGACGCUGAGACGCGAAGGCGUGGGGAGCGAACGGG